CCGUGCCCGGCGCGGUACCUGCGGGCGGGCGGGCGGCCCUUCCCCCGUGCCGGCCGCGGGUCGCCGCUCCGCAGCGCCCCGGUCACUUAUUGAUUAUUUUGUUACGGGGACGGGGCAUCGAUCCCUCCAUCCCCCACGCCCGCCCGGAGGUGCGAGAGCCCUGCAAGUUUGCAAACCCCGCGCUCCCCCUGCACCUCCCUCCCGCCGCAUUCGGCGUGCGGGCCGGGACUAAUUAAUUUAAUACAUUUAGAACUAAUUGUAUUUACUUUCGCCUCCCCCCCGCCCCCAGCCCCCCUUCCCGUUCGGGAGGGGGUUGGGGCCGGUCCGGGGGCCGAGGCGCGGCGGCGGCUGGAGCGGAGCGGCGGAGCGGCUCGGUCCGAACCUCGACAGCGCCAUCUCUCGUCCGCAGCUUCUUGCUCCGGUUUGUUUUCAAGCAUCUCCGUUCGACGACGUACCCGUGGAGCCCUGCUCGCUCCCAGUGUGCUGCUGACCUGGUUCAUGAGUCUCCAAACAAAUGUAUAUUUAUUGUGGGAGAGUUUUCUGACAGACACUGCAGGGGGACGUGAAACAUUAACUCCAGAGCCUCUGGGGUCAGCCUGUGUGGAGCACGGCAGCAGCAGAGGCAGAGCUUGCACCGCUGGAGUGCGUGUGCCUGUCCCACACACCACAUCCAGCAGGAGCAAACGUGCAGCUUUUGUGUUAUAUGAGCUCACAGAGUAAUUUGUUAUAACUUAAACACGUAUCAAGACCAACACGUUAAGUACAGUUACUGCUCCUUUUGUUUAUCUAGUGUCUUAUUUUAUGGUGUGGAACUAAACAGUGUCCGCUGAAUUUAACUAUGAGACCGGCCAAACUGAUUUCAGAAAGACUUCUGCAGGGUAACAGAGUGAUAAGGCAUAAACUACUCCUAGGUGCAGUGCUAGAUAAAUCCUUUUAACAGUCUUCAGAUCAGUUAACAGGGUAAGUAAAUCACAUAUCACUGUUAGCAGAUUUAUGGGAGAGAAUUAAUAGAAUCAGACGAGAUAAUCUGGUAGGGAUAAAAUUGCUGAGGAAACAGUCCUGCCUUAUAUUGGAGGGUAUGAAACAACAGUCUGAUUACUGGGAGUCAUUAUGGAUUGCUGAAUUAUGAGCUAAAUCAUCGUAAGAGUAAUUCAGUAUUUAUUAAUUCUUUUCUCUUUAAACAACUCACAGAUGCAAAUAAAAGCCUCUCUCUCUUUGAAGACA
Molecule: long non-coding RNA, 1224 nt
Filed under: Chloebia gouldiae (Gouldian finch)
Lineage: Eukaryota; Metazoa; Chordata; Aves; Passeriformes; Passeridae
Description: Erythrura gouldiae (Gouldian finch) lncRNA (ENSEGOG00005007094.1)
Source: RNAcentral